AUUUAAAUAGCUUAAAUUAAAGAGCGUAAUAUUGAAGAUAUUAAGGAGAUUUUUUAAUCUUUAAAUA
RNAcentral lists this transfer RNA (67 nucleotides) under Micrambe villosus. RNAcentral's name for it is "tRNA-Phe". The record is from RNAcentral. Lineage: Eukaryota; Metazoa; Arthropoda; Insecta; Coleoptera; Cryptophagidae.